CGCGAACUGCGUAUGCUCGAGUUAUCAAUUAUCGUUUAUACCUUACUACUUGGAUAACCGUGGUAAUUCUAGAGCUAAUACAUGCUAAAAAUCCCGACUUCGGAAGGGAUGUAUUUAUUAGAUUAAAAACCAAUGCCCUUCGGGGCUCACUGGUGAUUCAUGAUAACUCCUCGAAUCGCAUGGCCUUGUGCCGGCGAUGGUUCAUUCAAAUUUCUUCCCUAUCAACUUUCGAUGUUUGGGUAUUGGCCAAACAUGGUUGCAACGGGUAACGGGGAAUAGGAG
This 282-nucleotide ribosomal RNA is filed under the name uncultured Ascomycota. Its description in RNAcentral is "partial small subunit ribosomal RNA". It matches the Rfam family "Eukaryotic small subunit ribosomal RNA", at positions 106 to 375 of the family's 1831-position model. Lineage: Eukaryota; Fungi; Ascomycota. The record is from RNAcentral.